Molecule: ribosomal RNA, 1252 nt
Filed under: Staphylococcus sp.
Lineage: Bacteria; Bacillati; Bacillota; Bacilli; Caryophanales; Staphylococcaceae
Description: partial 16S ribosomal RNA
Rfam family: Bacterial small subunit ribosomal RNA (bases 188-1252)
Source: RNAcentral
CACCACACAUUGAGAUCGGAGACACCGGGUUCCGAGAUCCUACAGAAGUGACCAUCGUAUCGAAUUCUCUCGCACAUCGAGCAAAGACUGCAACCGAGCCAACACCGCGUGAGAGAUAGUAUAGUUUUCAGGAUCUGCAAAAUCUGUGAAUUAGGGAAGAGAUAUAAGUGUCAAGAUAACUCUGCACAGUCUCGUGAGCGUAUCACUAUUCAGAGAGACCCCACGGUAAAUAUGUGUCCAGCCGCACGCCGGUAAUAUCGUGGGGGGUGCACAGCGCUAUCUCCGAAUAUUUUGGCGUGUAAGCGCGCGUGUAGCGGUGUUUUUAUAGUGUGAGGUGAGAAGCCCCCGGGUCUCCACGUGUGAGAGGUGUCAUGAGAACUGGGAGACUCGAGAGCACAGAGAGAAAAAGAGGAAAUUUCCCGUGUGGCGCUGAAAAGUGCAGAGAUAUGGAGGAACACCACUGGGGAGGACGAGUCUCUGGUGUGUAAAUGACGCUGAUGUGUGAAAGCGUGGGGAUCACACACGAUAAGAUAUCCCGGUAGUGUACGCGCUAAAAGAUGAGUGUGAUGUGUUAGGGGGUGUCUGCCCCCUAGUGCUGCAGCUAACGCAUUAAGCACUCCGCCCGGGGAGUACGACCGCAAGGUUGAAACUCAAAGGAAUUGACGGGGACCCGCACAAGCGGUGGAGCAUGUGGUUUAAUUCGAAGCAACGCGAAGAACACUACCAAAUAUUGACAUCCUUUGACCACUCUAGAGAUAGAGAUUUCCCCCUUGGGGGACAAAGUGACAGGUGGUGCAUGGUUGUGUUCAGCUCUUGUGUUGAGAUGUUGGGUUAAAUCCCGCAACGAGCGCAACCCCUAAAAGUAGUUGCCAGCAUUUAGUUGGGCACUCUAGGUUUACUGCCGGUGACAAACCCGAGGAAGGGGGGGAGGAGGUCAAAUCAUCAUGCCCCCCAUGAGAUGGGGGACACACGUGUUACAAAAGACACUACAAAAAGGGGCUAAAACCCGAGGUCAUGCAAAUCUCCCAAAAUUGUUUUCUCUGUUGAGAGUGGUCUGCAAAUCUAGUACAUAAAAAGGGAAUAUCUAGUAAUAGUAGAUAAGCAUGUUACGGGGAAAACGUUCCCGGGUGUUGUACACACCGCCCCUCACACCACAAGAGUUUUAACACACGAAGCCGGUGGAGAAAACACAUAUGGAGCUAGCCGUCGAAGGUGGGACAAAUGAUGGGGGAAGUCGAAUCAAGAGCAGCCC